UACCGGUUUCCUAUUUGGUGCUACGGAGGCAAGCGCAGGCGCGGAGUUCCGAGGAAUUAAGCAAAGGUUUUCAUUUUGGUGCAACAAGACCAAUACCGCCAGGACGGCAGAGGUCAUCAUUGAGCCCACUACGGCGUCAUGACUAGAAGCUUUUGGCAGGCGAAGAUUAAUUUUGUCAGGAUAGCAUGUACCAGUUGUCUCCCUUCAAAUUUGGCUGUUGCGGGAUCCCAUCCCGCCUUGCAUUUGGGAAGAGGACCAAACCCACUAUAAAUAGGACUUAGCCACCACCAUAGCAGGGGAGGGAUCAUUCAGAUCAUCCUCUCACCCACGAGCUCAUCGACCAUAAGAACACCUCUCCUCCUGAGGCUGUUCUACACUGUACUAGUUCAUCCUCCGCACCUCGAGGCCAAUCCACCACAAAGCAGGAGUAGUGUUUUACACCGCAAGGUGUCCUGAACCUGGGUAAACUGCUGUGUCUUUUGUUCAUCCAGUUCGUCGAUCUAGGCCAUGGGAUUAGCGGGCGGGCAGACUCGGGAGGACGAGUUCUUCGCACGCACCCUAGAGUUGAAACCUCUCAAGGGUCUGCGGAACCCUAAAUCCGACAUUUGGCACGCCAGUUAGGGGUGCAUCGGAGCCUCUCUUCCGCUGGUCGACUUGCCAUCGCUCCACCGCUUCCAUGCCUGACGCCCGUCGAGCCCGUGCUGAGCGUCGGGCCGCCCUCGCCGCUCGCGUCGCCCAGACGGCGCCUGCCGGUGGGCCUCCCCAUCGUUCUCCGUCGCUUGCCGCCAACGCCACCACUGACUCGGCGGGGCACUAGCAGCAAGCUUCGUCGCUGCAACCCUCCGUGCGGCAUGAUGGACGCACGGCCACCCCGUCGCUGACUCCGGCUGGUUCGACGUCUCAUGCUCAUCGCGCGCCGGCGGACGCGCAUGCUGCGCUGCUCAUGGAGCGCAGACUCUUGCGCUACCGCCCCGUUGAUGACUUCUACAAAGACUGGCUGGACCGCAUCGCCGAGCUAGUCAGUGCUGUUGGGGGCUCUCCUGCCCCGUCUCUCUCGUUGCCUUGCCCGCCGCCUGCUGCGGGUGACGUAGCUCAUGGAGCACCUCCUCCACCUCCCCGUCAAGACGUCUUCCUCAGGCCAAGGUGCGCGGCCCCAUGGCGUGACCGGCCGCGCAGGGCGCCUGCCGCCUGCUGUGUUCGCCUCAAGAUCCCCAAGGUUUCGGACGAGGCCAUCAUCUUAGCGUUUUCUGAUGGCGUCCGCGACGUCAAGAUGAAGGCAGAACUCGCCAUACACGAGGAGCUGUGCACGGCUCUGGAGAUGUUCAACAUGGCAACUAAGUGCGCAAGAGCUGAGGAGGGUCGCCUCUCCCUCCAGGAGCUCUCGGGGACAGACCUAGAAGACAAGAAGGCCAAGCUCAAGGACGUGAAGCGCAAGGGGCUGGCUGUGCUUGCGGCCGAGCCAGAGAUGAAGCGCGACUGCGACCAUCCAGAGUCAUCCAAGGGCAGCCGCCCAUUCUCAGUCUUCCAAAACAUGCACAACCACAACACCAAUGACUGUCAGGAGCUCAGGGCCGUCCACGACGGGCGCCUCAGUCGUCGCCCCGAGCGCAACGACCGAGGCCAUGGCUGCGGAGGAGGCCGAGGAGGAGGACGCUGGGAUGACCGCGGCCCUUGUCAGGAGUGGUGCGAUCAGCCUCGUGAGGAGCGCUGGCAAGCCCAGCCUCAUGAGGGCGCCUGGAGAGAUCAGCCUCGUGAGGAUCGUCCUCAGGGUAAUGCCGGCCUCCCUUCGCUGUCACCACCACCAAGAAGGAAUGACGACCACCACCAGGACAAGGGGGCUGGGGGCUUCUAGGAGCCUCGCGCCAUCGCCUGCAUCCUGGGCGGUGCACAGGCCCCAGCCUCUCAUCGCAUCUUCAAGCAGUUUGCCCGCGAAGUGAACGCAGUCCUCCCCAGGCACGAGGCCAUGCGACCGCUCAGGUCAUCCAAGUGCACCAUCACCUUCAGCUCAACCGACCAACUCAAGUGCGCGGCAACUUCUGGUGCCCUCCCGAUGCUCUGCUCGCCCGUCAUCAGCAACGUCCUCGUCACUAAGACUCUCAUCGAUGGCGGUGCGGGGCUCAACGUUCUUUCCAUUGAGACGUUCGACCACCUCUAAGUACCCUAUGACCAGCUGCAGCCCACCAAGCCUUUCUCAGGAUUAACCGACGGCUCCACCACCCCGAUAGGGCAGAUCUGCCUCCCUGUCACCUUCGGCAAGCGCGACAACUACCGCACUGAGCUCAUCGACUUCGACGUCGCCCACAUCCGCCUUGCAUACAACGCCAUCCUUGGGUAUCCAGCCCUUGCCAAGUUCAUGGUAGUGGCUCAUCACGGUUACAAUAUCCUCAAGAUGCCAGGGAACCGCGACAUCAUCACAAUUGCCUGCGAGGAAAAGGACCCAGUGUGCGCUCUCGAGCGUGCCUACCAGGCUACGGCAGUCGAGAACCCCGACGAUGAAGGCACCGUCUACCCUCCUGAGGCUGUCCCCAUGAAGAAGAAGCAGCUGCUCCACCAAGGGCCUCAGGAGAAUGGCAUCUCCAGCGGCACCACCUCAGGACCUGCGCCCACAGAUGGGGCGCCUCCCUCUCUCGCAUAGGAAGGCGCGCCCGGCGCCCCUCUCAGACUGGGCACGGGGGCUCUUCUCUGGAGGGCCUUUGACUUAGCCAACAUCAUGAUGGAGGCGCGCGCUUCCGCCGGAGAGCACGAGGAACGAAGCACUAGCCGUGCUCAGGAGUUCAUCACGAAGGCAACCAAGGAGCUUCAAGAGGCGAGAGCCAUGUGCGGCGAUCGCCGCGCACCAUCCGGCACGGCUCCUUGUGCUGGCGAGGACAGUGAGCUGCAUGCCUGCGUCAACAUCCCUGGGCUCAACUGGGCCGCAUCUCAGGAGCGCUUCUGGCCAUCGCGAUGGUCGGUGCGAGGGCCCCCCUCACAGGUACGUUCGCAUGCCUAUUAGCCUACCGAAUGCGGUUGUUACCUUCUAGCCCGCAUGCGGAGCGUCCUGGUGGCUCACGAGGCCAGGCACCAGGUGGUCCUGGCGGAGAUGGCGACGGUCCUUCACGAGCCUGCCGGGCCUCCAGAGCCUCCCGAGGUUCAAGGCCAAGGUGGCUCGUGAGGAGCGAAUUCUUCAGCACGCGUCUUGAGCUAUGCCAACAUCUCUUCAGCAACGGUGCCAGGUGACAUUUUCUGGUUUACUCAGUUGGGGGUGCCCCUCGGGCUGCAUCAUUCCCAGGCCACGGGGGUCCGUCCCUGUGGCAUGUAUCAUUUUGCAUCUAUCGGAACUAGCUCUGCCCUAUCCAUGCCAUGAUUUAUGUUAUCACCCACUCGCCUAUUGUAUGGCCCUUUACGGUCUCCCGCAUUGCUGACCGCCCUCUUAUCCAUCCCACGACGAGGGCUCACAUGCUAGCACAACGUUUGUGCUCGGGUCCGUCGCUGCAACCCUGACGAAUCUAAGAGACCGAGCUCUGGCUCGCGGCCUCCCCGUGCACGUCACCUCACUAGGUCCUCAGUGCCUUCAUCUUCUCGCAGAAAGAUCAGCGGCAGGAGAACAUGCGGGCUUACGGGCUACGCUCUCUUCUCGGACUAACCCGUAGGAAUCCCUGGAGUUCGGUGGCAGGCGGCCCCGCCGGCCAUCCCUUUUCCACGCAAUUCGCUUGCACGUUAAAGGGGGGGACCCUUGAGCAUCGUGCCUUAUGAGCCCCUACUAACUCUCCAGCCCUCACCCCCUGGCCUUGACCACGGCAUCGUGACCUGGCAUACCAGCGGCGGCUGAGCCUCGCUCGAGGGUCGGAACCCGAGGACGUAGAGCACUCAGAUGAGCAUGGGAACGGGAGGCCAGCUUAAUCCCUGCCUGGAAGCAUCACCACUAAGGCACAACCAGGCGCUAUGCAAAGGAAUCACCGCGGGUUCAUUAAGUUAAGUCACCUAUACAUGUCAGCGUGAGGCCGCUGUCUGGGAUUUCGACACUCGCAAUCUCGCUUGGGCAACACCGCCUUCCUUUUCGCCCCCUCGGAAGUUGGUUGCACGCCAAAGGGGACCUCUUGAGCAUCGCACCUCAGGAGCUCUCACUUGAUCUCGGGCCGCUCACCUCCUGGCCUUGACCACGGCAUCGCGACCUGGGAUACCAGCGACGGCUGAAGCCCGCCUGGAGAUUAGGACAUGUCGGUGUAGAGCGCAAAGCUACUGCGGGAACGAAAAGGCGGGACAAUGCCGUAGCAAGAAUGUGCAGCCGCAAGCUCAUACUAGGAAUAAUACACUUCGGAGCAAAAGCAUUACAGUUUUUACAUACCACCACGGGGUCUGUCUCGAUUCCUCGCAGGGAAACAAAAGGAAACUUCGAGGAGCCCUGGCUGCUGGGCAUCAUCGACGAUACCAAGCGGAUGCCGCUGCUGCACUCCGGGCACGGCGAGUGCUCGGUGGCACAUAGCUGUCGUCGCUCGACUCCGGAGUGUUGCUAGGCUCGGGAGAGUCGCUCGACUCCCAGGAGUCGUCGCUUCUGCUGGAGGAGCAGUCGGCAGGACCGGAGGCGGGCUCGGCGCCCGCAAUCGUGCCACGCAGGCCGCUUCCCCUAGGACAACACUCCAAGCGGCAGCCCUCCUUGUUGAAGACCUUGAAGAACAAUGUGGAGGCGCUAUCAUACCCAAAGUGGAUGGCGAGGGCCCCCUCCGCACGCGGGCGACCUCGCCCCAUCCUCAGGUCAAGAAGAUCUUUCUCGGGGGGAAGACCUCGACCUCUGCCCCCGUGGCCAGACUGCAGCACCCGGCGUGCUGCAGCCACAUCUCGAGUGGCCCCCUCAGUGGCAUCUCCUCGGCGAAGAAUCACGGAAGCUGGAUCCAUGUGCGCGGAGGCAUCGCCGCCCACAUCACGAACUCGCGCGAGGAGCCCUCGGCGUGGGUUCAUGGGCCGGCAGCCUGUGCAACCUCAGCCUGGCCACCACGGCCGUGGCUCGUGCGGCGCGAGGCGCUGCCGCCUUCUCCGAAGCCUCGUGCUUGGGCGUACAGAGGAAGCGGGAAGCCGGGCGGAGUCCGCUCGUACCAAGGCCGCGUCGCCACUGGCCUCUCGCCGGCAUCAAGGAGGCGGCUGAGCCUUUUCUUCGGCGGGAGCGGCCCCUGCUCCUCAUGGGGUUUUUUUUCCCUUUUUCCACCACAGAGAAUCUCCUGAUCGGCGCCAUGGGAACUACAGCGAGGCGGCAAGGCAGAGAGGAGGAAGAAGAAGCAGGCGCCGAGGAGACAGAGAUGAGCAAGGGGGGCUCCGCCCCUCUCUUUAUUUAUAGCCAGAGGGAGGCCAAUCGCCGGCCUCCAUGAUCGCAUGCAAUGAUGGUUUCUCUGCAUGCAGCAGGGUCUCAUCAAGUCGAACGGUUGCCGAGGCUGCGUGGGGAAACGGAGGCGCCAACGUCCCAUCAAAUGUCACGUGUCGACCAAGGCCGCAUGCAGUUAGGGCCCGCGGCGCUCCGCACUUGCCCCUUGGCUUCGCCUGGAAGCCAAGUUCGAGCCCGCCUUGGUCCCGGGGGCUACUGUGGGCAUCCUGGGAUCGGCGGUACCCAGACUUGACUGCGUGUGGCCCACGACGUGGCUCCAUCGACGGCCUGGUACGGCCCAACUUCAACACCAACAGCUCAAGACCCUCGCGAGGGGCCAAUCCUCGCGAGGCGGACGACACCAAGACCACCUCGAGGGACGGCCUCCCCAGGCUAUCUCCCAAGGAGCGGAGAUAUCUAUGCAAGGUGCACCUCAUGAGGUUCGGAUGACGUGAGCCGUGACGACCAAGGCCAGGCGGGCGCCAGUGGGCGCCGUGUACCAGUUUCCUCUUUGGUGCUAAGGAGGCAAGCUCAAGCGCGGAGUCCCGAGGAAUCAAGCAAAGGUUUCCAUUUCGGUGCAACAAGACCAAGACCGCCAGGACGUCAUAGCGGAGGUCAUCGUCGAGCCCACCACGGCGUCAUGACUAGAAGCUUUUGGCAGGCGAAGACUACUUUUGUCAGUAUAGCAUGGACUAGUUGUCUCCCUUCAAAUUUGGCCGUUGUGGGAUCCCUUCCCGCCUUGCAUUUGGGAAGAGGACCAAGGCCCCUAUAAAUAGGACUUAGCCACCACCAUAGCAGGGGAGGGAUCAUUCAGAUCAUCCUCUCACCCACCAGCUCAUCGAGCACAAGAACACCUCUCUUCCUGAGGCUGUUCUCCACUAUACUAGUUCAUCCUCGGCCCCUCGAGGCCAAUCCACCACAAAGCAGGAGUAGGGUUUUACACCGCAAGGUGGCCUGAACCUGGGUAAACUGUUGUGUCUUUUUUUCAUCCAGUUCGUCGAGCUAGGCCGUGGGAUUAGCAAGCGGGCAGAUUGGGGAGGACGAGUUCUUCGCACGCACCCCAGAGUUCGAACCUCUCGAGGGUCUGCGGAACCCUGAAUCCGACACCAAGAGACCAAAAAGAUUUGAUGUUUGCUGUGAGGUGGUAAAGAAAAAUAGCUACGCACUAAGACAACAACAUGUGUGUACUAGUAGUAGCACGUACAUGCUGGAGCUACUAGAUUAGUAUGUACAUGGUUGUUAAGAUGAUGCUGCAUGCAUAACUUAAAAAGGGAGAUGAUUAGUACGUACUUGUAGCAAGCAUCCCAGCUAGCUAGUACAUUUUAGUCUGCAUCCAUUUUAGUCCAUUUUAGUCUGCAUCCGUUUUAGUCCAUUUUAGUCUGUAUCCAUUUUAGGUUAUUUUAGUAAACAAAAAAAUUAGGCAAAAUGAGAAUACAGAGGAGAAAUGAAAUAGCCUACACCCAUUUUAAUCCAGUAGCAAUUUUGCCAAAGGUGACCGUUGCAAACAUUUUAUCAUGUUACAAGCACAUUAUUUGAACGAGCGCUUUUAUUGUUGGUGGCUUAUUUGUAAGCCCAACAAGUUGGGUGAUUUUCUUCAUGGGUGGGUCAUAACCUCAAGCUUUAGGUUACUAUAAACAAGUUUGGAACGACAAAAAUAUCAUUUUUUUACUGUUUUGUUACUAGCCUGAUUCAAAUCCUUUUCAUCUCCAAUGAACGAGCUUUGUACAACAUCAGCCUUGAUUCAAACUCCAUGUACUGAAUAGGUUCAUAGCGUGCACUGCUUUAGCCAACACCCAAUAGCAAGGCAAACAAAGAAGGUCUUAGAACACUUGUCCUUAUAUGAUGUAAAGAUUGCAUUUUUAUUGGGCUAUCUUGUCCUUCCAGUACUAGUUUCAUGUUUAUGUUACAACAACUUUAUUGUGCUACGAGAGCUCUGUUUUAAGUUUCCGGUCUGCUGCAGGUUUACCAAAGAUACACUGGUUGAUGGAGGUCUGGGUGAUCUACAAGCUUAUGAGGAUUUGGAUGAUCUAAAAACUUCUGAAGGCUUGGAUGACCUACAAGCUACUGAAUGUUUGCAAGACCAACAAUUAAGUUGGUGGAGUGAUUAUGUAAUGUGCCUUGUUUGUUGAACCUGGUGACAUUGGCAGGUUGUGCUCAUCUUGGUGGUUGUUUAGGCACAUAAGCAGCCACUAUAUGCUCUUUUUGGUUGGGUGACACACCUAGAAACAUAUAUACUUCUCUCCUUGAUGCACCACUUAUAAUUUUAUUGUGAGGCACACCUAUAAACAUAUAUGUGCUCCUUUUGGGGCACAACCUGUAUAUAUAUGGUUGUUAUGUUUAUUAAAUGAAGUUUAAGGUUUUCGAUGAGGCCUAUAUGUUACUUUAAAGUGUAUGUAUAAAUUGUGUGAUCUGGCCUGAGUGCUUGAA
Molecule: long non-coding RNA, 7759 nt
Filed under: Triticum aestivum (bread wheat)
Lineage: Eukaryota; Viridiplantae; Streptophyta; Magnoliopsida; Poales; Poaceae
Description: long non-coding RNA (TAES_LNC013344)
Source: RNAcentral